UUAUUUUGUUGUUUGGGCUUUUAAGUCAUUGCAUACCACACCCCAAUGGGGUUUGGUUAGAUCAUUGGGUUAGAAUUGAGCCCGCAAUUUGUUUAACUAUCGGGUAAUUUUGAAUCAUUUGUGUUCCUAGAGUAAAAACAAAGGUUUAAAGGGUUAAUUUAGGAAGUCUAGGUGGGGGAAUCUCAGUAAGUGAUUGAGGAAGCUU
RNAcentral lists this long non-coding RNA (205 nucleotides) under Nicotiana benthamiana. RNAcentral describes it as "long non-coding RNA (NBEN_LNC000462)". The record is from RNAcentral. Lineage: Eukaryota; Viridiplantae; Streptophyta; Magnoliopsida; Solanales; Solanaceae.